GACAGCACACAGAGAUAAAAGACUAAGAUAACUUUUUUCCCCCUGAGAAAUACUGUGUGAAAGACAGAAAAAGGACUAAGAUAAAUUAUUUCCUAGGAGAGCUGAAUUUAACUCACCUUGUGAAGAAACGUUAUAAAAAUAUUUUUGAUAGAUUUUGACUGCCAUCUUGAGAGAGUUACGAUGUUGAAAAUAAUGAAAUUCAAAUCUGUGUAAACAUUGAUUUAUUUAUAUAUGCCAAUCUGAUGCUGUACCAUGGAAGAGUAUCUUGUAUAGAAUCUGAGAUCUAGAGAACCUAAGUGAGCUGCUCA
Non-coding RNA from Phascolarctos cinereus (koala), 308 nucleotides. The record is from RefSeq and is a predicted model, not a curated record. Lineage: Eukaryota; Metazoa; Chordata; Mammalia; Diprotodontia; Phascolarctidae.